Molecule: long non-coding RNA, 1174 nt
Organism: Passer domesticus (house sparrow)
Lineage: Eukaryota; Metazoa; Chordata; Aves; Passeriformes; Passeridae
Exons: 2
Source: RefSeq, a predicted model, not a curated record
UUCCACUUCCCCCCCUGUUAAAAUGGUUCUGCCCCCGUUGCUUUCUCCUCUCUUUUAAUGUCAAUCUCCCUACCUCCUCCCCCUGUCUCCCUAGAAACUGAUGUAUCAUUCCCUUGAUCCCUCCCCAGUGCCGUGUCCGUCACUCAACAACCCAUCCCCUUUUUCCAGAGACUUCUACCUUGAGCGUUGAGUGAUUGGUUCAGGGGCCAGGGUCGCUCCCCAUAGAUACUCCCAUUGGUACUCUUAGAUGUCAAUCUUCCCCAUUCCCAUGCCAUCCUGCAUCCCAUUGGCAGGUGGAGUCCUCUGUAUUCUCUCCUACCAGCACUGCAAAGCAUCUCGUCCAUGGAAGGCGAAAGCCUUAGCCACUUUCCUGGGUUUCUGAGGAUCAGGAGGAUGGCCCCUGCUGGUAGCUGUGUCAGAAGUAGCUGGGACAUUCCGAGUGGACGCUUGGACAGGCACAGCUUCAGAAGAGUAGAGGGGGUGAGAGCAAUGAGCUUGAAGAUCUCAAGGUUGGUGCAGAAGGAUGGGUGCUUCGGGCAGAGAUUUUCCUGCAGCCCCUGGUGAGGCAGCUGUGCUUCUGUAGCCCAAGGAGAUCCAUGGGGGAGCAGAGUUCCACUUGCAGCCCUUGGUGGACACCCACACCAGAGCAGGUGGGUGCCUGAAGGAGGAUGUGGCUGUGUGGGAAGCCCACCCUGGAACAGGCUCCUGACACGUGGCCCUGUGGAGAGAGGAGCCCACGUUGGAGGAGGUUUGCUGGCAGCACUUGUGACCCCAUGGGAGACCCAUGCUGAAACAUCCUGUUCCUGAGGGACUGCAUGCCUUGGGAGGGAUCCACUCUAGGGACCUGCUCACAAGGAGCUGCAGCCUAUGGGAAAGCCUCAUGUUGCAGAAGUUCUUGGAAGCCUGUCUACUUUGGGAGGGACCCCAUGCUGCAGCAGAGGAAGGAUUCGUCUCCCUGAGGGGGAAGCAGCAGGAGAAACAAUGUGUGAUGAACUGACCAUAACCCCUUUUCCACACCUCCCUCAGCUGCUUGGAGGGGAGGAAUAAAGAACUGUGAAUUAAGUUGAGCCAGAGAGGGAGAGAGGGUAUGGGAAAGGUGUCUUAAAACUUGUUUUGUUUCUUACUGUUCUGCUGUGCUUUUGAUUGUUUAAAUAAAUGUAAGUAAUUAGCCAGA